RNAcentral lists this unclassified non-coding RNA (300 nucleotides) under Phylloporus sp. RNAcentral describes it as "partial contains small subunit ribosomal RNA and internal transcribed spacer 1". The stretch from base 1 to 46 matches the Rfam family "Eukaryotic small subunit ribosomal RNA", at positions 1786 to 1831 of the family's 1831-position model. The record is from RNAcentral. Lineage: Eukaryota; Fungi; Basidiomycota; Agaricomycetes; Boletales; Boletaceae.
AAGUCGUAACAAGGUUUCCGUAGGUGAACCUGCGGAAGGAUCAUUAAAAAAUUAAUUUGGAUGGCUCGCUCCCAUGAUGAAGUAAAAUUCUCCUUGGGGCGUUGCCACACAAAUCCAAAACCCACCCCCCAUGUGCACUUGUAAUCUGUCAAAUAAGCGAAUUUUUGUUCACUUGAUUGUCUUUUUCCUCUUGGAAUGAGUGGUCGGUGGGCACUUUCGUUGACAUUUUCCAACAAACCUUUUUGUAAAUAAAAUAACUGAUGCCAUUUGAAAAAUUAAUCAAAUACAACUUUUGACAAC